GACGACGGGUCGGCACCUCCUCUCCUCUUCCUCCCGGCCAAUCCUCCUCUCUCCUCGAGCUUCCUCGCCGGCCGGCUACCACGGUACCACCGCUGCCACUUUUCCACAGCCGUCAAUGACCACGGAGGCCAACAGAAGAGAAGAGCCAGGAAGGCCCCCGCCGUCGCGGCGCCUGCCACCGCCGCGUGCACGGGCGGGUGCGGCGAUCCGGUGUUACUAUUCUCGGCCGUAGAGUUGGCCGGAGCGCUCACCACUGCGAUCGAGCUGGUGGGAUGCAUCGAAACCAUGGACGCCGGCGGCGACGGCGUCGUGCUUAUAUCGGGAAGCUGCGGAGGAGAGGGAAGCAUCGGACGAAACCGGCGCAUCUGGCGGCGAUGAAGGCGUCGCCAUACGUUCAUCGCCGUCAUACGCGGCGAUGGCUUGGAUGACGAGGGGCUACAAGGCGUCUGAGUACGCCAUCAGAGGGGAGCUCAUGGUGAAAGCUGACACAUAGCUUUGGAGUUCUCGUUCUCUAGAUCGUCAGCAGCAGGAAGAACACGGAUCUCUCUUUCCCGAACGAAAUUCAGUCCCUGCCUGAACAUGCAUGGAGGCUGUACGAGCAAUCCAAGGUAAUGGAGCUCAUCGACGCGAAGAUGCAGGCCAAUGGGUUCGACGAGAAGCGGCAAGUGAUGCAGGUGUGCUCCUGGAGAGAGGAGAGGGAGAGGGAGAUGGAGAGAGAGGAGGAAGAAGAGGAGGGGUGAGAAUGACAUGUGGGGCCCACAUGGCCCCAGCAUUUUUUAAUUAGUUCUUUUGGUGUAACUGACAUGUGAGGUCACUCUUUUUUAUUAAUCUUCGAAUCAAAUUGCCACGUCAA
Long non-coding RNA from Oryza sativa Japonica Group (Japanese rice), 853 nucleotides. RefSeq lists it as uncharacterized. NCBI's taxonomy places the organism in Eukaryota, Viridiplantae, Streptophyta, Magnoliopsida, Poales, Poaceae. The record is from RefSeq and is a predicted model, not a curated record.